RNAcentral lists this ribosomal RNA (253 nucleotides) under uncultured bacterium. Its description in RNAcentral is "partial 16S ribosomal RNA". It matches the Rfam family "Bacterial small subunit ribosomal RNA", at positions 524 to 776 of the family's 1533-position model. The record is from RNAcentral.
GACGAGGGAUCCUAGCGUUGUUCGGAAUCAUUGGGCGUAAAGCGGAUGUAGGUGGCUUUGUAAGUCAGGUGUGAAAGCCCCGGGCUCAACCCGGGAAGUGCAUUUGAUACUGCGAAGCUUGAGUGCUGGAGAGGUUACUAGAAUACCUGGUGUAGUGGUGAAAUACGUAGAUAUCAGGUGGAAUACCGGAGGCGAAGGCGGGUAACCAGCCAGACACUGACACUCGGAUCCGAAAGUGUGGGGAUCAAACAGG